UCCUAUCCCCGAUAGUAGUGGAAAUCCUUGUUGCCCGGGGUUUGGGCAACAAGAUUGCAACGGAUUGCUUCGCCAGUU
Molecule: small RNA, 78 nt
Filed under: Flavobacterium sp. 5
Lineage: Bacteria; Pseudomonadati; Bacteroidota; Flavobacteriia; Flavobacteriales; Flavobacteriaceae
Description: Flavo-1 RNA
Rfam family: Flavo-1 RNA
Source: RNAcentral